Long non-coding RNA from Haliotis rubra (blacklip abalone), 372 nucleotides. RefSeq lists it as uncharacterized. Lineage: Eukaryota; Metazoa; Mollusca; Gastropoda; Lepetellida; Haliotidae. The transcript has 3 exons. The record is from RefSeq and is a predicted model, not a curated record.
ACUACAAGGGCCAUGUUUUCGUGUAUUUACAACAGUAACAGAGCUCUAGGUACGACACACUACAAGGGCCAUGUUUUCAUGUAUUUACAACAGUAACAGAGUUCUAGGUACGACACACUACAAGGGCCAUGUUUUCAUGUAUUUACAACAGUAACAGAGUUCUAGGUACGACACACUACAAGGGCCAUGUUUUCAUGUAUUUACAACAGUAAGAGAGCUCUAGGUACGACACACUACAAGGGCCAUGUUUUCAUGUAUUUACAACAGUAACAGAGCUCUAGGUACGACACACUACAAGGGCCAUGUUUUCAUGUAUUUACAACAGUAAGAGAGCUCUAGGUACGACACACUACAAGGGCCAUGUUUUCAUGU